RNAcentral lists this ribosomal RNA (577 nucleotides) under Torulaspora delbrueckii. RNAcentral's name for it is "eukaryotic LSU rRNA". It matches the Rfam family "Eukaryotic large subunit ribosomal RNA", at positions 62 to 652 of the family's 3401-position model. The record is from RNAcentral. Lineage: Eukaryota; Fungi; Ascomycota; Saccharomycetes; Saccharomycetales; Saccharomycetaceae.
AAACCAACCGGGAUUGCCUUAGUAACGGCGAGUGAAGCGGCAAAAGCUCAAAUUUGAAAUCUGGUACCUUCGGUGCCCGAGUUGUAAUUUGUAGAAGGUAACUUUGGGGCUGGUCCUUGUCUAUGUUCCUUGGAACAGGACGUCAUAGAGGGUGAGAAUCCCGUGUGGCGAGGAUCCCAGUUCUUUGUAAAGUGCUUUCGAAGAGUCGAGUUGUUUGGGAAUGCAGCUCUAAGUGGGUGGUAAAUUCCAUCUAAAGCUAAAUAUUGGCGAGAGACCGAUAGCGAACAAGUACAGUGAUGGAAAGAUGAAAAGAACUUUGAAAAGAGAGUGAAAAAGUACGUGAAAUUGUUGAAAGGGAAGGGCAUUUGAUCAGACAUGGUGUUUUGCGCCCUCUGCUCCUUGUGGGUGGGGGAAUCUCGCAGCUCACUGGGCCAGCAUCAGUUUUGGCGGCAGGAUAAAUCUGCAGGAAUGUAGCUUGCCUCGGUAAGUGUUAUAUCCUGUAGAAAUACUGCCAGCUGGGACUGAGGACUGCGACUUUACGUCAAGGAUGCUGGCAUAAUGGUUAUAUGCCGCCCGC